ACGGAAGGCAGCAGUGGGGAAUAUUGCACAAUGGGCGCAAGCCUGAUGCAGCGAUGCCGCGUGAGGGAAGAAGGUUUUCGGAUUGUAAACCUCUGUCAACAGGGACGAAAAUGACGGUACCUGUGAAGGAAGCUCCGGCUAACUACGUGCCAGCAGCCGCGGUAAUACGUAUGGUGCAAGCGUUAUUCGGAUUUACUGGGUGUAAAGGGAGCGUAGACGGCAUGGCAAGUCUGAAGUGAAAUGCGGGGGCUCAACCCCUGAACUGCUUUGGAAACUGUCAAGCUAGAGUGUCGGAGAGGUAAGUGGAAUUCCUAGUGUAGCGGUGAAAUGCGUAGAUAUUAGGAGGAACACCAGUGGCGAAGGCGGCUUACUGGACGAUAACUGACGUUGAGGCUCGAAAGCGUGGGGAGCAAACAGGAUUAGAUACCCUGGUA
RNAcentral lists this ribosomal RNA (434 nucleotides) under uncultured Clostridium sp. RNAcentral describes it as "partial 16S ribosomal RNA". It matches the Rfam family "Bacterial small subunit ribosomal RNA", at positions 341 to 792 of the family's 1533-position model. Lineage: Bacteria; Bacillati; Bacillota; Clostridia; Eubacteriales; Clostridiaceae. The record is from RNAcentral.